RNAcentral lists this ribosomal RNA (393 nucleotides) under uncultured bacterium. RNAcentral describes it as "bacterial SSU rRNA". It matches the Rfam family "Bacterial small subunit ribosomal RNA", at positions 527 to 922 of the family's 1533-position model. The record is from RNAcentral.
GGAAGGUCCGGGCGUUAUCCGGAUUUAUUGGGUUUAAAGGGAGCGUAGGCCGGAGAUUAAGCGUGUUGUGAAAUGUAGACGCUCAACGUCUGCACUGCAGCGCGAACUGGUUUCCUUGAGUACGCACAAAGUGGGCGGAAUUCGUGGUGUAGCGGUGAAAUGCUUAGAUAUCACGAAGAACUCCGAUUGCGAAGGCAGCUCACUGGAGCGCAACUGACGCUGAAGCUCGAAAGUGCGGGUAUCGAACAGGAUUAGAUACCCUGGUAGUCCGCACGGUAAACGAUGGAUGCCCGCUGUUGGUCUGAAUAGGUCAGCGGCCAAGCGAAAGCAUUAAGCAUCCCACCUGGGGAGUACGCCGGCAACGGUGAAACUCAAAGGAAUUGACGGAAGCCG